This 127-nucleotide unclassified non-coding RNA is filed under the name Boeremia exigua. RNAcentral describes it as "ITS1". Lineage: Eukaryota; Fungi; Ascomycota; Dothideomycetes; Pleosporales; Didymellaceae. The record is from RNAcentral.
GCUUUGCCUACCAUCUCUUACCCAUGUCUUUUGAGUACCUUCGUUUCCUCGGCGGGUCCGCCCGCCGAUUGGACAAACUUAAACCCUUUGUAAUUGAAAUCAGCGUCUGAAAAAACAUAAUAGUUAC